GACGAACGCUGGCGGCGUGCCUAAUACAUGCAAGUCGAGCGAAGUUUUUCUGGUGCUUGCACUAGAAAAACUUAGCGGCGAACGGGUGAGUAACACGUAAAGAACCUGCCUCAUAGACUGGGACAACUAUUGGAAACGAUAGCUAAUACCGGAUAACAGUAUUUCUCGCAUGAGAGAUAUUUAAAAGUUGGUUAUGCUAACACUAUGAGAUGGCUUUGCGGUGCAUUAGCUAGUUGGUGGGGUAGAGGCCCACCAAGGCGACGAUGCAUAGCCGACCUGAGAGGGUGAUCGGCCACACUGGGACUGAGACACGGCCCAGACUCCUACGGGAGGCAGCAGUAGGGAAUCUUCCGCAAUGGGCGAAAGCCUGACGGAGCAACGCCGCGUGAGUGAAGAAGGAUUUCGGUUCGUAAAGCUCUGUUGUUAGGGAAGAAUGGAUAUGUAGUAACUAUACAUGUAAGAGACGGUACCUAACCAGAAAGCCACGGCUAACUACGU
This 498-nucleotide ribosomal RNA is filed under the name uncultured bacterium. Its description in RNAcentral is "partial 16S ribosomal RNA". It matches the Rfam family "Bacterial small subunit ribosomal RNA", at positions 28 to 506 of the family's 1533-position model. The record is from RNAcentral.